GCUGGUGGCCAUAUCACCCUGAACACACCUGUUCAGAGUCGGGCCUGGUUAGUACUGGGAUGGGAGACCGCCUGGAAAUACCUGGUGCUGUAAGCA
Molecule: ribosomal RNA, 96 nt
Filed under: Salmo salar (Atlantic salmon)
Lineage: Eukaryota; Metazoa; Chordata; Actinopteri; Salmoniformes; Salmonidae
Source: RNAcentral